RNAcentral lists this unclassified non-coding RNA (231 nucleotides) under plant metagenome. RNAcentral describes it as "partial contains small subunit ribosomal RNA, internal transcribed spacer 1, and 5.8S ribosomal RNA". The record is from RNAcentral.
UCUCCGUUGGUGAACCAGCGGAGGGAUCAUUACAGUGUUGCAAAACUCCCAAACCAUUGUGAACGUUACCUAUCCCGUUGCUUCGGCGGGCGGCCCGGGCCCCGCGCCCGGCGCCCCCCGCCCCCCCGUGGGCGCCCGCCGGAGGUAAACCAAACCCUUGAAUUGCAUGGCCUCUCUGAGUCUUCUGUACUGAAUAAGUCAAAACUUUCAACAACGGAUCUCUUGGUUCUG